This 66-nucleotide transfer RNA is filed under the name Dipodomys ordii (Ord's kangaroo rat). It matches the Rfam family "tRNA". Rfam says of the family: Transfer RNA (tRNA) molecules are approximately 80 nucleotides in length. Their secondary structure includes four short double-helical elements and three loops (D, anti-codon, and T loops). Lineage: Eukaryota; Metazoa; Chordata; Mammalia; Rodentia; Heteromyidae. The record is from Rfam by way of RNAcentral.
GGGAAUGUGGCUUAGUGGUAGAGCACUUGCCUAGCAUGCAUGAAACCCUGGGUACAUUCAAUUCCA